This 245-nucleotide ribosomal RNA is filed under the name uncultured prokaryote. Its description in RNAcentral is "partial 16S ribosomal RNA". It matches the Rfam family "Bacterial small subunit ribosomal RNA", at positions 524 to 768 of the family's 1533-position model. The record is from RNAcentral.
UACGGAGGAUGCAAGCGUUAUCCGGAUUCAUUGGGUUUAAAGGUGCGCAGGCGGAGAUAUAAGUCAGUGGUGAAAACUAGCCGCUCAACGGUAGUCUUGCCAUUGAUACUGUUUCUUCUUGAGUAUGGAUGAGGUAGGCGGAAUGUGCAGUGUAGCGGUGAAAUGCAUAGAUAUUGCACGGAACACCAAUUGCGAAGGCAGCUUACUGGGCCAUUACUGACGCUCAGGCACGAAAGCGUGGGGAU